CGUACACUCCUGCGGGAGGCAGCAGUGGGGAAUAUUGGACAAUGGGCGCAAGCCUGAUCCAGCCAUGCCGCGUGAGUGAUGAAGGCCCUAGGGUUGUAAAGCUCUUUCACCGGUGAAGAUAAUGACGGUAACCGGAGAAGAAGCCCCGGCUAACUUCGUGCCAGCAGCCGCGGUAAUACGAAGGGGGCUAGCGUUGUUCGGAUUUACUGGGCGUAAAGCGUACGUAGGCGGACUAUUAAGUCAGGGGUGAAAUCCCGGGGCUCAACCCCGGAACUGCCUUUGAUACUGGUAGUCUUGAGUUCGAGGGAGGUGAGUUGAAUUCCGAGUGUAGAGGUGAAAUUCGUAGAUAUUCGGAGGAACACCAGUGGCGAAGGCGGCUCACUGGCUCGAUACUGACGCUGAGGUGCGAAAGCGUGGGGAGCAAACAGGAUUAGAAACCCGGGUAGUCC
RNAcentral lists this ribosomal RNA (449 nucleotides) under uncultured organism. Its description in RNAcentral is "partial 16S ribosomal RNA". It matches the Rfam family "Bacterial small subunit ribosomal RNA", at positions 330 to 796 of the family's 1533-position model. The record is from RNAcentral.